Molecule: transfer RNA, 73 nt
Filed under: Phycisphaerae bacterium
Lineage: Bacteria; Pseudomonadati; Planctomycetota; Phycisphaerae
Description: tRNA-His
Rfam family: tRNA
About the family: Transfer RNA (tRNA) molecules are approximately 80 nucleotides in length.
Source: RNAcentral
GCGGGUAUAGCAUAGUGGUUAGUGCGCUUGCUUGUGGUGCAAGAAAUCGAAGGUUCAAUCCCUUCUACUCGCC